UAUCUCUGUAGAGUCUGCAUAUCAAUAAGCGGAGGAAAAGAAACUAACUAGGAUUCCCUCAGUAACGGCGAGUGAAGCGGGAAGAGCUCAAAUUUGAAAUCUUCAAGGUUCUACCUUGACGAAUUGUAGUUUAAAGAAGUGUUUUCUGUUGGAGUUUUGGUAAAAGUUCUUUGGAAUAGGACAUCAUAGAGGGUGAGAAUCCCGUAUUUGACCAUUAUUUCCAGCUUUGUGAUACACUUUCAAAGAGUCGGAUUGUUUGGGAAUGCAGUCCAAAAUGGGUGGUAAAUUUCAUCUAAAGCUAAAUAUUGGCGAGAGACCGAUAGCGAACAAGUACCGUGAGGGAAAGAUGAAAAGAACUUUGAAAAGAGAGUUAAACAGUACGUGAAAUUGUCAAAAGGGAAGCGUUUGACACCAGUGUUGUUUUCUCGAAAAUCAAUUAAAAAAAGUUGGAUUUUGUAUUGUUAAGACCUUAUCAGCUUACUGUACUCUUUUCUUGCUUUUUUUAAUGCACUUUUCGUUUAACAAGUCAACAUCAAUUUCUUUUGUUGUAAAAGAGUCAUUGGAAGGUGGCUUUCACUUCGGUGAAAGUGUUUAUAGCCUUUGGCUUCUGCAAUCGGAGAGAUUGAGGUCUGCAGCGUAGAUCCUUCGGGGCUAGAUACGUAGAUGCUAAGUUAUAGUUUUUUAUAGACAACUUGUUGACUAUAAUUAAUCAUGUAGCUUACUCGUUUGCGCUAUUUUACCUACGCUUAGGAUGUU
Molecule: ribosomal RNA, 756 nt
Filed under: uncultured Neocallimastigales
Lineage: Eukaryota; Fungi; Neocallimastigomycota; Neocallimastigomycetes; Neocallimastigales
Description: partial large subunit ribosomal RNA
Rfam family: Eukaryotic large subunit ribosomal RNA
Source: RNAcentral